UCCCGGAUCGUCUAAUGGCAGGACACCUGGUUUUGGUCCAGGCAAUCAUGGUUCGAAUCCCUGUCCGGGAACCA
Molecule: transfer RNA, 74 nt
Filed under: Candidatus Uhrbacteria bacterium
Lineage: Bacteria; Candidatus Uhriibacteriota
Description: tRNA-Gln
Rfam family: tRNA
About the family: Transfer RNA (tRNA) molecules are approximately 80 nucleotides in length.
Source: RNAcentral